Molecule: ribosomal RNA, 497 nt
Filed under: uncultured bacterium
Lineage: Bacteria
Description: partial 16S ribosomal RNA
Rfam family: Bacterial small subunit ribosomal RNA
Source: RNAcentral
GAUGAACGCUGGCGGCGUGCCUAAUACAUGCAAGUCGAGCGAACAGACGAGGAGCUUGCUCCUCUGACGUUAGCGGCGGACGGGUGAGUAACACGUGGAUAACCUACCUAUAAGACUGGGAUAACUUCGGGAAACCGGAGCUAAUACCGGAUAAUAUAUUGAACCGCAUGGUUCAAUAGUGAAAGACGGUUUUGCUGUCACUUAUAGAUGGAUCCGCGCCGCAUUAGCUAGUUGGUAAGGUAACGGCUUACCAAGGCAACGAUGCGUAGCCGACCUGCGGGCGUGAUCGACCACACGGGAGCUGGAACCGCGCCCAGAGUACUACGGGAUGGAGCAGUAUGGAAUGUUAGGAAAUGGUCGGAGUCAUAACGGAGCAGGCUGUAGUGAGUGAAGAAAAUCUUCGGAGCGUAAAGCCCGCUUAUUAGGGGUAAACAAAUUGGGAAGGAACUCUACACAGCGUGACGGUACCGGGUAAAAAAGCCACGGCUAACUACGUG